GAAGGUACAGCAUCCCAGCAGCCAAGAGAAAGAACAGUCAACAAAGCUGAAGCCUUCAGAAAGGCCAGACAAGGGAAGGAUAGAGAAGACCUGGGCACAUAUUGUAGGGCACAGGUAUCAUUGUUCACCUCUGGAUGAGCAGUUUUAAUAGAAGAGGAGAAGUUGAAGCCAAACAGUAUUGGUUGGAGGUGUGGUGGCUGUCCUGUCUGAAAGCCUGACUAUGAAAGAAUGAAGCAGAAGGGAAAUAGCUGGAACUAAAACAGGUUGUAGUACAAAUAAGUGAGUCACAUUUCUUUGCCUUCCAUGUGGCAUUAACUUUACCAUGUGUACUCUGAAGGGAAGGUACUCUAAUGGGGAGGAAUGAGGUGGGCCAAUAAUGAGAGUGAGGUUCCUGGGGGAUGGGAUGGCAGAGCACAGGUGUGGAGGACCUGGACAAUGAAAAAGAAGGAUGUAUGGAGAGAACUGGUUACAAACAGUGAGUAAGGGAGUUUGAAGGUCUUAUCUGAUGACAUCUGUUUUCUCCGAGAACUAGGAUAUAAAGUCUCUGCAAGUGGCAAGGGACACAAGGGCAGUAGAGGAUGGCACACCCCCUAGGAAGGAUUAUAGGAGGGUACUGCUCAGGGAGAUGCAAGGUAAUUUUUGCAUCAAUGGCUCAGCUGAAAAGGGAGACUGUCACUUGUGUGAUAAUUGUAGUCUGUAAAGUCUGAGGGAAAGAAAAUUUGCCAGGGUGCUUCUUAGGCCCUGUGACGAAGGGCAGCUGGUCUCCAAUUGCCUGAAAUUUCUACAAGUUAAUCUCCAAAUGUAACCAUAGGGAUUAGUUAGUAGGGAGACUGAGUGUGUUUUAAAGCACCAGCCAAGCAGAGUCAUCCCAUUUUAUAGAGGAUAAGGAAUUUCAUGUUCUAAAACAGUGUAGUAGUUAAUUAGGAAAAUAAUGGAAUUUCUGUUGGAACAUCUGUAUCACAUGUGUUUCACAUGGUUUGGGUGUCGUAUUACAUGUGUGGAAGGCAUUCUGGCAGGGAUGGUGGUAACCCUAACGCAGCUGGUUUUCCUCCAGGCAAGAACCAACUACAUCAUGUGUCUGAGAUCUUUUUUUACAAAAGCAACACUUAGUGCUAAAAACUCAUUAUUUCUAAGGUACCAUUAGAUUUAUUUUUAAUUUUUUAUUUUGCCUUCAUUAAACAUCAGUUUGGAGUAGCCACAAUUACAGAAACCUUUAAGAUUUUUGUGGGUAUUAAAAAUAAAGGUUUUGCCAGGUGCCUAACAGGCACAUAGUAGUCAUUUAAAAAAUAGCAAUAGUUUUUCUUACUCACUGAUUAUUUGUGAAAGCAUAAAACGAGCCAGAAUUUUGAAUCCUGUUUGUAGAAGCCUUGGGUGAUUUGGCCAAGCAGUCUAACCUUGGAAAUAGCACGGAGUCAGAUGUGGACUUUAGAGGCAGUCAGCCCUUGGUUUGACUCCUUGACUUAAUAACAAGGUGACCCUAGAAGCUUAUUUAACCUUUGAAUUUCCUUUUCCUUAGAUGUAAAAAGAGAAUGUAUACUAUGUGCUUUGUAGACUAUUUGGGAGAUUAAAUGAAAGUAUGUAUAAGUUCUGAAAUACCUAGAAUUGAGUAGGUAUUCAGUAGAUUCAAUAUAUGUUUGUUCCCCCUCAUUCUUUUCUGUUCUUUACCUGCCUUCCAUGAUGCAUUUGUCAAUAGAAAGGUACUAUAAAUUCUUGAGCAAAGUGACAGCAGUACACAGAAUGGGUAUGCUAAUUAAUUAGAGGGAUUGCUAUUAAUUCUCUUACCACAAAUAGUUCCUAUACUGCACUUAAAGUACAAUCAUUGGCAUGAAUUUGCUUAGACAAGAAAAACCCCCCAAAAAUUAAAAGUCUAUAGUCUAUCGAGACUUUUGGUUUUAAAAUAAAAUAAUAAAGAUAUUUUUACUCCCCUUUCCUCUUGGGAGUCACCACAAAGACAUGAGGGAGUAGCAAAAACUAGUGUCAACUUGUAUCAAGUCAAGACAUGGUUAGCCAGGACUAGCCCCAUUAAAGACAGAGAAGAUGACACGGGAAGGAGGAAUUCACAGCUGCAUCAUUCUUAUCUAAACUGCAUCCCCACAUAGCCUCCUUGUGUGUCUUUAUGUCUUCACAUGACCCUCCUAUGUGGACACAAAUCUUUUGGUCAGGCCUCACCCUAAUCUUGUGUGAUCCCACUUGAUUCCAUCUGCAAAAGUCCUGUUUCUAAGUAAGGCCACUUUCACAGGCACCAGGUAUUAGGACUUUGACAUAAAUUUGGGAUGACACAGUUCAACCCACAACAGCACGUAACCCAAGUGAGAAACAGACUCGUCACAGCACACGGAGCUCAGGAGCCACAGGUGCCAUGAACCAUUGACAGGAGGAAUGUCACAUCCAGCUAAAAGUGGGGGAUGAUGGUAAAGAAAUCCCACCACCACCCAGGUAGCACAGCUCCCAAGUCCAAACCAUCCUGCUGCACUUCCCUCCCUCCCUUUCCUCCAGUCCCCCAGGAGGUGAGAAGUACCGGUACUUUUUGGAAAAAUUGUGCCAGAGGAGUUCCCAUUGUGGCUCAGGGGAAAUGAACCUGACUAGCAUCCAUGAGGACACAGGUUCAAUCUCUGGCCUCACUCAGUGGGCUAAGAAUCUGGCUUUGUCAUGAACUGUGGUGUAGGUCACAGAUGCGGCUCUGAUCCCGUGUUGCUGUGGCUGUGGCUGGCAACUGCAGCUCUGAUU
RNAcentral lists this long non-coding RNA (2727 nucleotides) under Sus scrofa (pig). RNAcentral describes it as "lncRNA (ENSSSCG00035008350.1)". The record is from RNAcentral. Lineage: Eukaryota; Metazoa; Chordata; Mammalia; Artiodactyla; Suidae.